GACAGAGGUGGCGAGCGUUGUUCGGAUUUACUGGGCGUAAAGCGUGGGUAGGCGGUUCGGCCAGUCAGAUGUGAAAUCCCACCGCUUAACGGUGGAACGGCGUCUGAUACUACCGAACUCGAGUGCAGGAGAGGAGAGUGGAAUUUCCGGUGUAGCGGUGAAAUGCGUAGAGAUCGGAAGGAACACCAGUGGCGAAGGCGGCUCUCUGGACUGCAACUGACGCUGAGACACGAAAGCGUGGGUAGCAAACAGG
This 253-nucleotide ribosomal RNA is filed under the name uncultured prokaryote. Its description in RNAcentral is "partial 16S ribosomal RNA". It matches the Rfam family "Bacterial small subunit ribosomal RNA", at positions 524 to 776 of the family's 1533-position model. The record is from RNAcentral.